RNAcentral lists this ribosomal RNA (119 nucleotides) under Pteropus alecto (black flying fox). Lineage: Eukaryota; Metazoa; Chordata; Mammalia; Chiroptera; Pteropodidae. The record is from RNAcentral.
GUCUAUGGCCAUGCCACCCUGAACAUACCCAAUCUCAUCUGAUCUCAGAAGUUAAGUAGGGUCGACCCUGGUUAGUACUUGGAUGGCAGACCACUUAGGAAGACUGGGUGCUGUAGGCG